Molecule: ribosomal RNA, 460 nt
Filed under: uncultured bacterium
Lineage: Bacteria
Description: partial 16S ribosomal RNA
Rfam family: Bacterial small subunit ribosomal RNA
Source: RNAcentral
CCUACGGGAGGCAGCAGUGAGGAAUAUUGGUCAAUGGACGAGAGUCUGAACCAGCCAAGUAGCGUGAAGGAUGACUGCCCUAUGGGUUGUAAACUUCUUUUAUAUGGGAAUAAAACGUUCCACGUGUGGGUUUUUGUAUGUACCAUAUGAAUAAGGAUCGGCUAACUCCGUGCCAGCAGCCGCGGUAAUACGUAGGGUCCAAGCGUUAUCCGGAUUUACUGGGUUUAAAGGGAGCGUAGACGGCUGGGCAAGCCAGUUGUGAAAGUCAGGGGCUCAACCGCAGAAUUGCAGUUGGAACUGUGCUGCUUGAGUGUAGUAGAGGUAGGCGGAAUUCGUGGUGUAGCGGUGAAAUGCGUAGAUAUUAGGAGGAACACCAGUGGCGAAGGCGGCCUGCUGGACGGCAACUGACGUUGAGGCUCGAAAGUGUGGGGAUCAAACAGGAUUAGAUACCCCUGUAGUC